Molecule: long non-coding RNA, 1120 nt
Organism: Orbicella faveolata
Lineage: Eukaryota; Metazoa; Cnidaria; Anthozoa; Scleractinia; Merulinidae
Source: RefSeq, a predicted model, not a curated record
UUUCUUUUGGUGUCUGAAUAGGUCAUGGCAAUACCUUUCCUUUGAGCCCAGACCAGUUGUCUUUGUGCGCAUCGUUGGUGUUGAGAACACAGCAAAUGAGGUGUUUCACUGUGUCCAUUUCGAGUGUCCAGCCAAUCAGAAGGAACCUAGUAUCUGCGGCAGUGACAGAACAGACAGCUCUGAGAACAGCGUCGUAUCAGAUACAACAAUCAGCUCCAUAAUGUGAUAAUUGACAUGUGUCAUACUAUGUCGUAGCAUAGUAUAACUAGAGAAGAGAACGCGUGUAACUUAUUCACUAUUGUUCCUAAUCAGCUUGUUGACAUUGCCAUUUACUACUUACAACAUAUAAUACAAAUUCAGCUUCAACUUUCUUACCUAAAAAUAGAAUUCAAAUUACUUCCAGGGCAAACUCCAAAUGAAAGGAUGGUAUAUGUGUAAGCGUAGAUGUAUCUUUUCAGUUGAAAUAAUCAUUAAUGCUGGAUCAUUAUUUAGGAUGGUAUAAACACGGAGUGUGUUUUGUAUAAAUUACAUGUACAACUACUUAGAAAAACCUGUUUAGACUGAUAUUAGUCAGGCAAUGUCAAGCGCAUUGCAGUAAGCACUACAAUACUGUUUGUUUUUGCCACAAUCCAUAGGAGUGGGGUAAGGCAAAAGGUAACUGGACUGAGAGGAAGGCUGGGAACCUGGAAAACCAUAUCAUAUACCAGUAUGGCCGAUUUAGAAGUGACAAGAGCAUCUAACCCUUAUGUCACUGCGACAAGUUCAAGUCAAAUUUAUUUAAGAUGAGAGAAACCAAUGGAAAAAUUACCCAGAAUAGCUAGAUCUUUCGGAGAGAGUGACUUAUUACAUUUUGCCGACUUUUGUAACUCUUUGUAAAAGUUAUCCAUUAAUUUGCACUUCAGAGUAGAGUGAAUAAUAGAAUUUGAGGAAAAUGAUAAAAAUAGUUUAUGGAGAACUGAUUCAGAAGAGAAAUAGUAUUUUGUCACAAAAUUUAUUUGAUAUUAAUUUAACCAUAAAAUAGAUUGUGUUAGUAGUCGUCUUACUUGCUUAUCUUGUUCCAGUCUCAGUGGACAGGAAUGUUACUUGAGUAUUAAAAGUAAAAGUGAUGUGGAGGUACAAA